Long non-coding RNA from Vidua chalybeata, 2653 nucleotides. RefSeq lists it as uncharacterized. The record is from RefSeq and is a predicted model, not a curated record. NCBI's taxonomy places the organism in Eukaryota, Metazoa, Chordata, Aves, Passeriformes, Viduidae. The transcript has 2 exons.
GUCUAGUGGAAGGUGUCCCUGCCCACGGUAGGGGUUUGGAACGAGAUGAGCUUUAAGGUCCCUCCCAACCCAAGCCAUUCCAUGACUUUAUGACACGUUUGCCACCCAGCAAAAGUGACGGCUUCCUGGGGAAUGUGGUGGUCCCAGCCCUGAUGUCCAUGGGUCAAGGAGUGGCCCAUGGAUACCUAUGGAUCUUGCUCUACCAGCAUUGAAGCAGCAUUACAAAUAAUACUAAUAAUACUAAUACCAUGACAAGCAAAGCAAGGCUUUGGUGGUAAAAUACUGCACAGGUUUGGUCUGCCCAGGUGUGACCUGUAGGGGAGAAGCAGGGAGACUAACAGGGGGAUUGAUACCCCCACUGGGUGGGGAGGGAAUGAGGAACGCUUCUGGACCGUGUGUUUUCUUUUAAAGCCUAUGAGAAAGUGUUACUAUUUGCCUAAUAAACAAGCACAGUUUUUAAAAAAAAAAAAAAUUGAUCAAACUGAAAAAAAAAAAAAAACCAAAACCAACCAAACAAAAAAACAAACAAACCUUUGAUGAAGAAAAGCACCAAACUCCCAUGGUCUCGUGUGAGUGACUGAUCCCAAGGUGCGUGCGAAUUUACAGUGUCUGGAGUUGUAUCAGUGUGUCAGGUUCCUUUGCGUUUAAAUAAUUUGUACAAGUAGGUUGCGAGUUAGGAUGAGUUUAAAAACAAAACAAAACAAACAUCAUCAACAACAACAAUCUAGAAACAAAACAUCAAUAGUUUACAGGGUUUUGUGAGUUUAAAUGCCUUAUAUUUAACAAUCAUAAUUUAUGACUAACUUGUAGAUAUUGUGGGUUCUAAUUUAAUUAUUUUUAUAGUUGUUUUUUUGCAUUUUUAAUUAUAAUUUAUUUAUUUAGAAAUUACUACUAAUUUUUUUUAUUACUCCUAUUACCUCAUUUUUGCAUUGUUUCUGGGAAUGGAAUGCUUUGCAUGCAUCGGUACUUAAAAUAAAAUUAAACAGGGGAUGUGGGGGGUAAUGCUUAUCUUGUCAAAAACAAAAACAAAAAAAAAAAAAAAGAGAAAAAAAAUCAGGGUGUGUGAUUACAAACUGUAUUACUGUGGUGCUGUUACCUUGGAUACAUUCCAUAAAAAUGCAAACCUUUGAUUCUGUAUGCUGUGACAUAGUGGAAAACUGCAAUAUAGUGACUGUGUUUAGCACAUAUAUAUGAAUAUUAUUUGCACUCAUAAUCAAACUCUGGUGAUCCUUUCACUUGUGUCCUUGCGCAUUGAAGGCGGUUAACGACGCUCUGCAUAACCCAGAAUGUUUUGGUUGUUUCUUGGUACUGCCCUGUCCCUGACUCCUCUGGUGAUGCUGCUGCUGCUGCUGCUGCUGCUGCUUGUGUGACCCUGGAAUAACACUCAGCAGGCCCCCACUGCAAAGGAUAAUGCAUGCCUUUAGUGCAAGACUCUGCAAAUUGUGUCAAAAGCCCAGGAAGGAAGCCCAGGUGUGGUGGCUCUGUAAUUUUUGGCGUCUGUCAGUGCUCGGUUUGGCUCUUUUCACCUUCUGUGUGUGCACCCAGCUGGGGUGAAGGAGGCAAUAAGGCGAGCCUGAGCUUGGAGGCAACAGAACUGAGGGAUUCAAUGCAGUUUUUAGGGGUUGACUUCUUUACCCAGAGACUAGGAAGGCCCUGGCACAGGUUUCCCAGAGAAGCUAUGGCUGCUCCUGGAUCCCUGGAAGUGUUUAUGGCCAGGCUGGAUGGGGCUUGGAGCAACCUGGGAUAGUGGAAGGUGUCCUGCCCAUUGGCAGGAGGUGGAACGAGAUGAGCUUUAGGAUCCCUUCCAGCCCGAACGAUUCUGUGAUCCUGUGACACCACGUCCAGCUGAGAGUGGUUGGGAUGGACACGGGAUCCAUUUGCCAUCUCUUUGCAACGCCUGCCAUGGGCACUGGCUAUAACUCAGCUCUGACCCAUGCAUGGAGCAGAAGCACUUAACUCUGAUCUUGACCAGCUGGCUUCAUCCCUCCUGUACAGGAGGGAGCCUCAAUCUGGAGCUUUUUAAUCCAGUGUAGAGCUGGGACCCGCCCCAGAGCCCUCCUUCCCCCAGGAAAGGGGUCAGCCCCAAAAUGACAUGGCCAAGCAUCCUCAUCCUGCCAUGGCUGUGCUGCUCUUGCAAUGAGUUGCCCUUUCCCCAAAGGCUCCUGAGUAUCACGAGUUCCAGCUUUGCCAGAAGGGUGCUGCGCUGCUUUGUUGACUUUGCCUUACCCCAGGUUUUAAACCUGUCUGUGUUUUUUACCUUGCUGCUCUGUAACACUCCUCCCCUGUAGCCUGGAGCUGUGAUUUUGAGCUGUGUGGGGACAGGGGGUUGGUUGUCCUCCCCCCCAAAGUCACUGUAAGAGGGAUAAGCCAAACAAGGAGCGAGUAAACAAAACCCCCUCUCCUUUAAUGACCCGGGCAGGUGAAAGGAUCACCCACAUUUUUGUAUUCCUACUGCUGUUCUGUUGUGCUGUGCAACAUUUUGCUACAUAGACUAUUUUAUAGAAGAAAGCUAGAAAAAUAUUUAUUAUUAAUAUUAAAGCAAUAGUGCAUUGAAGAAAUGGAAAGACAUUAGAAAUUGUGUAAAUGCUUAGAUUCACUUUUGGUGGACUUUUUGUACUUUAUUUAUAACUAAUAAAACAAACCGCAUUGCUAA